RNAcentral lists this ribosomal RNA (819 nucleotides) under Triticum aestivum (bread wheat). Its description in RNAcentral is "partial small subunit ribosomal RNA". The record is from RNAcentral. Lineage: Eukaryota; Viridiplantae; Streptophyta; Magnoliopsida; Poales; Poaceae.
AUGGAUGAGGUCACAAGGGGUAUACAAGGAGAUAUCCCAUGGUGUAUGCUCUUUGCGGAUGAUGUGGUGCUAGUUGACGAUAGUCGGACGGGGGUAAAUAGGAAGUUAGAGUUAUGGAGACAAACCUUGGAAUCGAAAGGGUUUAGGCUUAGUAGAACUAAAACCGAGUACAUGAUGUGCGGUUUCAGUACUACUAGCUGUGAGGAGGAGGAGGUUAGCCUUGAUGGCCAGGUGGUACCUCGGAAGGACACCUUUCGGUAUUUGGGGUCAAUGUUGCAGGAGGAUGGGGGUAUUGAUGAAGAUGUGAACCAUCGAAUCAAAGCUGGAUGGAUGAAGUGGCGCCAAGCUUCUGGCAUUCUCUGUGACAAGAGAGUGCCACAAAAGCUAAAAGGCAAGUUCUACAGGACGGCGGUUCGACCCGCAAUGUUGUAUGGCGCGGAGUGUUGGCCGACUAAAAGGCGACAUGUUCAACAGUUAGGUGUGGCGGAGAUGCGUAUGUUGAGAUGGAUGUGUGGCCACACGAGGAAGGAUCGAGUCCGGAAUGAUGAUAUACGAGAUAGAGUUGGGGUAGCACCAAUUGAGGAGAAGCUUGUCCAACAUCGUUUGAGAUGGUUUGGGCAUAUUCAGCGCAGGCCUCCAGAAGCUCUAGUGCAUAGCGGACGGCUAAAGCGUGCGGAGAAUGUCAAGAGAGGGCGGGGUCGACCGAUUUUGACAUGGGAGGAGUCCGUUAAGAGAGACCUGAAGGAUUGGAGUAUCGACAAAGAGCUAGCUAUGGACAGGGGUGCGUGGAAGCUUACUAUCCAUGUGCCAGAGCCAUGA